UAAAGUGGACGGAACGGUUGGUGAACUCCUAGAGCUUUAUCGGGUCGGUGAACUAUCCAUUGAAGAUCAUCGACCCGAGGAAAAACGCUCGUUUUGGCCCUCACACUCUGCUCUCCGUCAAAGCCUCUCCUGAGUCCUGAUUCCAAUUCCACGAUUAGGCCGUUUAGGUCCUAUCUUACGCAGAGGCUUACGAGGAGGGAGGCUCAGAUCAUAUUACGAGGUCACUGUAAAAGAAUUGAAUUGUGUUGACCAAGGUUUUCGACGCCCAAAUCGUCACAAAGUUGAGGAGUCACAAGCAGGAGCAGGUGAAGCCGGCUUGGAAGUGGAUGAAAACCGCCUCCACUUGUGGCAAGUCCUUUUCACCAAUCCAUAUGAAUGGUGGGUAACAGGAAAGAUAAUGUAAAUCCAAGGCAGUAGAUUUCAAGGACAAGAUAGUGGUGAAGCUCUCUGGUUGAGUCCAAAUGAUCCUCCAUGGAUUAAAAGACAACUCCAGUUGCUUGAUACACAAAUGGCAUAACAAAGCCAAGGAGAUCGUGUAGGUUCCCAUUCGGGUGUCUCCAUGUGGGUGUAUGAUGACUCUGGGAUGAGUCUACAGGCCUUGAAAGAAUUAUCUGCUGCUAUAUGCAGGGUUCUGCAAUCUUACUCAUAGCAUCUAACUGGAAGGACAAAGAAUAACUGAAAGCAAUACUGAUACCAGACAAGAAUUCAAGAUUGAAGAUAGUUUUAUGCCCCCAAGCACACAUACUAAUCUCAGAGAUUGAAGCAUAUCAAGCACUGAAAAUUACUGUAUCCAGUUCUUUAAACAGCAGGUACCAGAUACAUGACAAAAUAUGAAUACAAGGUCACUUUAUUAUAGCA
Alnus glutinosa is the source of this 858-nucleotide long non-coding RNA. RefSeq lists it as uncharacterized. The record is from RefSeq and is a predicted model, not a curated record. Lineage: Eukaryota; Viridiplantae; Streptophyta; Magnoliopsida; Fagales; Betulaceae. The transcript is spliced from 4 exons.